Molecule: ribosomal RNA, 569 nt
Filed under: Roccella montagnei
Lineage: Eukaryota; Fungi; Ascomycota; Arthoniomycetes; Arthoniales; Roccellaceae
Description: eukaryotic LSU rRNA
Rfam family: 5.8S ribosomal RNA (bases 192-345)
Source: RNAcentral
CCCCGACCUCCAACCCCUCUGUCUAUCUCUCCACCGUUGCUUUGGCGGUACGUCUGGUGCUCGCCGUACGCGCUACGGUCGAGGAUCGCCAGCAGCCCAGCGUAUGCGGGGCCGCUGAGUUGCCGUCAAGGGGCCAACUAAAAUCUCCGCACGAGUUGGACGUCUAAGAGAGAUAUGAAAUUCGCUUCAAAAACUUUCAACAACGGAUCUCUUGGUUCUGGCAUCGAUGAAGAACGCAGCGAAAUGCGAUAAGUAAUGUGAAUUGCAGAAUUCAGUGAAUCAUCGAAUCUUUGAACGCAUCUUGCGCCCUCCGGUAUCCCGGUGGGCAUGCCUGUUCGAGCGUCAUUAAGACCGUCGAGCACCGCUCGGUAUUGGGCCCGUCGUCCCCGCAGUCGCGGAUGGACGUACCCUAAAUCGUCAAGGCGACGUCCCGCGGUCCCAGGCGUAGCGGAAUGUGAUCUUCACCACGUCUGCGAGGUCCGCGGGGUCGUUCAGCCCCCCGAAUAUAACGCAGAUUUUAACGUUGACCUCGGAUCAGGCAGGGGUACCCGCUGAACUUAAGCAUAUCA